GACGAACGCUGGCGGCGUGCUUAACACAUGCAAGUCGAGCGGUAAGGCCCCUUCGGGGGUACACGAGCGGCGAACGGGUGAGUAACACGUGAGCAAUCUGCCCAUCACAUCGGGAUAACUCCGGGAAACCGAAGCUAAUACCGAAUACGACCACCUCCGGCAUCGGAUGGUGGUGGAAAGUUCCGGCGGUGAUGGAUGAGCUCGCGGCCUAUCAGCUUGUUGGUGGGGUAACGGCCCACCAAGGCUUCGACGGGUAGCCGGCCUGAGAGGGUGACCGGCCACACUGGGACUGAGACACGGCCCAGACUCCUACGGGAGGCAGCAGUGGGGAAUAUUGGACAAUGGGCGAAAGCCUGAUCCAGCAACGCCGCGUGAGGGAUGACGGCCUUCGGGUUGUAAACCGCUUUCAGCAGGGACGAAGCGCAAGUGACGGUACCUGCAGAAGAAGCACCGGCCAACUACGU
RNAcentral lists this ribosomal RNA (464 nucleotides) under uncultured bacterium. RNAcentral describes it as "partial 16S ribosomal RNA". It matches the Rfam family "Bacterial small subunit ribosomal RNA", at positions 28 to 506 of the family's 1533-position model. The record is from RNAcentral.